CGCAGCCGCGGUAAUUCCAGCUCCAAUAGCGUAUAUUAAAGUUGUUGCAGUUAAAAAGCUCGUAGUUGAAUUUCGGGGUUAGUAGGUUGGUCAUGCCUCUGGUAUGUACUGGUCUCACUGAUUCCUCCUUCCUGAUGAACCUUAAUGCCAUUAAUUUGGUGUUUUGGGGAAUUUGGACUGUUACUUUGAAAAAAUUUAGAGUGUUUAAAGCAAGCUAACGCUUGAAUACAUUAGCAUGGAAUAAUGAAAUAGGACGUUCGAUCCUAUUUUGUUGGUUUCUAGGAUUGACGUAAUGAUUAAUAGGGAUAGUUGGGGGCAUUAGUAUUCAAUUGUCAGAGGUGAAAUUCUUGGAUUUAUUGAAGACUAACUACUGCGAAAGCAUUUGCCAAGGAUGUUUUCAUUAAUCAAGAACGAAAGUUAGGGGAUCGAAGACGAUCAGAUACCGUCGUAGUCUUAACCAUAAACUAUGCCGACUAGGGAUCGGAUGAUGUUAAUUUUUUAAUGACUCACUCGGCGCCUU
This 520-nucleotide ribosomal RNA is filed under the name uncultured Glomus. Its description in RNAcentral is "SSU rRNA". It matches the Rfam family "Eukaryotic small subunit ribosomal RNA", at positions 569 to 1089 of the family's 1831-position model. The record is from RNAcentral. Lineage: Eukaryota; Fungi; Glomeromycota; Glomeromycetes; Glomerales; Glomeraceae.